Molecule: ribosomal RNA, 506 nt
Filed under: uncultured bacterium
Lineage: Bacteria
Description: bacterial SSU rRNA
Rfam family: Bacterial small subunit ribosomal RNA
Source: RNAcentral
CUGGCUCAGGAUGAACGCUAGCGGCAGGCUUAACACAUGCAAGUCGAGGGGCAACGCGAGUAGCAAUACUUGGCGGCGACCGGCGCAAGGGUGCGUAACGCGUGAGCAACAUGCCCGUAUCAGGGGGAUAAUCCAGGGAAACUUGGUCUAAUACCCCAUAGUAAUUUUGUAAGGCAUCUUAUAAGAUUUAAAGCUUUGGUGGAUACGGAUUGGCUCGCGUGACAUUAGCUGGAUGGUAAGGUAACGGCUUACCAUGGCUACGAUGUCUAGGGGUUCUGAGAGGAAGGUCCCCCACACUGGAACUGAGACACGGUCCAGACUCCUACGGGAGGCAGCAGUGAGGAAUAUUGGACAAUGGAUGGAAAUCUGAUCCAGCCAUGCCGCGUGAAAAGGAAGAAGGUCCUAUGGAUUGUAAACUUCUUUUGUAUGGGAGCAAUAAGGCCUACGAGUAGGUUGAUGAGAGUACCAUACGAAUAAGCACCGGCUAACUCCGUGCCAGCAGCUGC